Molecule: ribosomal RNA, 825 nt
Filed under: Triticum aestivum (bread wheat)
Lineage: Eukaryota; Viridiplantae; Streptophyta; Magnoliopsida; Poales; Poaceae
Description: partial small subunit ribosomal RNA
Source: RNAcentral
AUGCCUGCGAGGAACGUGGUGGCUGGAAAUGCCAUGGUAGUAUGUUAUGCCCGAGCAGGGGAUGUGGAGGCUGCGCAGGAGAUGUUCGACGGCAUGGUGGAGAGGGACCUCAUCUCCUGGAACACGCUCAUGUCAGGGUACCUGCGGCAAGGCGAUGCUGGUGUCGCAAGGGGCCUGUUUGAUCAGAUGCCGCAGAGGAAUGUGAACAGCUGGAACAUGGUGAUCACCGCGUACUCCCAGGCAGGGUUGUGGGCUGACUCGGUUGGGGUGUUCAAUCAGAUGCGGCUGAUGAGUUUCCAGCCUGAUGCUGCAACAAUGGCCGUGUUGAUGUCCGCAUGCGCACAGCUAGGCUCCUUGUCAGUUGCAAGGCAGGUGCAUGGACUUCUACACAAGGGCUGUGUCGAGAUGAACUGCCAUGUGCAGAAUUCUUUGGUUGACAUGUUUGCCAAGUGCGGUUGCAUCAGGGAAGCCCAUUUCUUGUUUGGCGAGACACGUCCGAAGGAUGCGGUGUCUUACAAUGUGAUGGUCACUGCUCUUGCGCAACAUGGACAUGGCAAAGGUGCACUGAAGCUUUUCAACGACAUGAUUGAGGAAGGGUUGCGGCCUGAUGCAGUGACAUUUCUUGGCGUGUUAUCAGCUUGCGCCCAUGCUGGGCUAGUGGACAAUGGAAAGCGCUAUUUUGAGUCCAUGGGAAUAACGUAUGCAAUUCAGAAAUCCGCAGAUCACUAUGCUUGCAUGGUGGAUCUCUAUGGCCGAGCUGGGCUUAUUGAAGAAGCGCACUCCUUUGUGAAGGUAAUGCCCGUGAAGCCACAUGCAGGUGUCUAG